AGAGUUUGAUCAUGGCUCAGAACGAACGCUGGCGGCGUGCUUAACACAUGCAAGUCGAGUGCGCGUCCGUAGCAAUACGGAUGGCGCACGGCGCACGGGUGCGUAACACGUGGGCAAUCUGCCCUUCGAUGGGGAAUAACUCCGGGAAACCGAAGCUAAUUCCGCAUAACAUUCCUUGGACUUCGGUUCGAGGACUCAAAGCCGUAAGGCGUCGAAGGAGGAGCCCGCGCCCGAUUAGCUAGUUGGUGAGGUAACGGCUCACAAAGGCAAUGAUCGGUAGCUGGUCUGAGAGGAUGGCCAGCCACACUGGAACUGAGACACGGUCCAGACUCCUACGGGAGGCAGCAGUGGGGAAUCUUGCACAAUGGGCGAAAGCCUGAUGCAGCGACGCCGCGUGGGGGAUGAAGCAUCUCGGUGUGUAAACCCCUUUCGACCCGGAAGAAUGCCUCGCAAGAGGACUGACGGUACGGGUAUAAGAAGCCCCGGCUAACUACGUGCCAGCAGCCGCGGUAAGACGUAGGGGGCCAGCGUUGUUCGGAAUUACUGGGUGUAAAGGGUUCGUAGGCGGUGUGGCAAGUCGGGAGUGAAAUCUCUGGGCUCAACCCAGAGGCUGCUUCCGAAACUGCCGUGCUUGAGUGUGGGAGAGGCGCGUGGAAUUGCAGGUGUAGCGGUGAAAUGCGUAGAUAUCUGCAGGAACACCCGUGGCGAAAGCGGCGCGCUGGACCACUACUGACGCUGAGGAACGAAAGCUAGGGGAGCAAACAGGAUUAGAUACCCUGGUAGUCCUAGCCCUAAACGAUCAGGACUUGGGGUGCCACCCGUUCGGGUGUCGUCCCGGAGCUAACGCGUUAAGUCCUGCACCUGGGGAGUACGGUCGCAAGACUGAAACUCAAAGGAAUUGACGGGGCCCGCACAAGCGGUGGAACAUGUGGUUUCAAUUCGACGCUACGCGAGGAACCUUACCUGGG
RNAcentral lists this ribosomal RNA (968 nucleotides) under uncultured bacterium. RNAcentral describes it as "bacterial SSU rRNA". It matches the Rfam family "Bacterial small subunit ribosomal RNA", at positions 8 to 979 of the family's 1533-position model. The record is from RNAcentral.